CCUACGGGUGGCAGCAGUGGGGGAUAUUCGACAAUGGGGGGAACCCUGAUCCAGCGACGCCGCGUGAGUGAAGAAGUAUCUCGGUAUGUAAAGCUCUAUCAGCAGGGAAGAAGAAAUGACGGUACCUGAGUAAGACGCCUCGGCUAACUACGUGCCAGCAGCCGCGGUACUACGUAGGCGGCAAGCGUUAUCCGGAUUUACUGGGUGUAAAGGGAGCGUAGACGGCGGUGCAAGCCAGAUGUGAAAGCCCGGGGCUCAACCCGGGGACUGCAUUUGGAACUGUGCUGCUAGAGUGUAGGAGAGGCAGGCGGAAUUCCUAGUGUAGCGGUGAAAUGCGUAGAUAUUAGGAGGAACACCAGUGGCGAAGGCGGCCUUCUGGACGAUGACUGACGUUGAGGCUCGAAAGCGUGGGGAGCAAACAGGAUUAGAUACCCCUGUAGUC
RNAcentral lists this ribosomal RNA (442 nucleotides) under uncultured bacterium. RNAcentral describes it as "partial 16S ribosomal RNA". It matches the Rfam family "Bacterial small subunit ribosomal RNA", at positions 338 to 795 of the family's 1533-position model. The record is from RNAcentral.